GGGUGCGACCAUACCAGCACUAAUGCACCGAAUCCCAUCAGAAGUCUGCAGUGAAGCGUGCCUAAGCGAGAGUAGUACUAGGAUUGGUGACCUCUUGGGAAGUCCUCAUGUUGAACCCC
This is a ribosomal RNA of Corchorus capsularis, 119 nucleotides long. The record is from Rfam. NCBI's taxonomy places the organism in Eukaryota, Viridiplantae, Streptophyta, Magnoliopsida, Malvales, Malvaceae.